CGGACGGGCCCCGCACAAGCAGCGGAGCGUGUGGUUUAAUUCGAUGCUACGCGAAGAACCUUACCCGGGUUUGACAUACAGGUAGUAGGGAACUGAAAGGGGACCGACCUUCGGGGAGCCUGAACAGGUGCUGCAUGGCUGUCGUCAGCUCGUGUCGUGAGAUGUCCGGUUAAGUCCGGUAACGAGCGCAACCCUUGCCGUAUGUUACAAGUGUCAUACGGGACUGCCGGUAUCAAGCCGGAGGAAGGUGGGGAUGACGUCAAGUCAGCAUGGCCUUUAUAUCCGGGGCUACACACACGCUACAAUGGUCAGUACAAUAGGUUGCAAAGCCGCGAGGUGGAGCCAAUCCAUAAAGCUGGCCUCAGUUCAGAUUGCAGGCUGCAACUCGCCUGCAUGAAGUUGGAGUUGCUAGUAACCGCGCGUCAGCCAUAGUGCGGUGAAUACGUUCCCGGGCCUU
RNAcentral lists this ribosomal RNA (457 nucleotides) under uncultured Anaerolineaceae bacterium. Its description in RNAcentral is "bacterial SSU rRNA". It matches the Rfam family "Bacterial small subunit ribosomal RNA", at positions 916 to 1381 of the family's 1533-position model. Lineage: Bacteria; Bacillati; Chloroflexota; Anaerolineae; Anaerolineales; Anaerolineaceae. The record is from RNAcentral.